ACAGGAACAUUGUUUGAGACUUUUAUACCUUCUACAGCCGAAGCAGGAGGAGGAGCCAUAUAUACUGAUGGAGCAGGAGUUCUCUUAUAAUUCUUCCCAUGAUGCCAUUGAAAUGAAGAAGGUUGAGAUGCAGGGGAGUUGGAGCCUGAAACUACAGGAGCAUUGAGGGAUGGAAGAGGAGAUGGAGCAUUAUCGGAAUUCCCCAUAUUAUCAUGAACAGAUGGAGCUAAGACAAAGUAAAAAAUCAUUUUCAGGGUUUCAUAGCAAACCAGCAAUUUUAAUACCUGGGUUUAGGGGUGGAGGAGCAUGGAACCUAAAGUCAGUCUUCGGGUCUGAGCUUGAAUUAUCUGGAGGAGCUAAUUUGUGGGCCAACAUUUACAACAAAUUGAGAAGAAAUAAUAGAUGAUAGGUAGGAAUUAAAAAUCAGGACAGGAACAUUGUUUGAGACUUUUAUACCUUCUACAGCCAAAGCAGGAGGAUGAGCCAUAUAUACUGAUGGAGCAGGAGUUCUCUUAUAAUUCUUCCCAUGAUGCCAUUGAAAUGAAGAAGGUUGAGAUGCAGGGGAGUUGGACCCUGAAACUACAGGAGCAUUGCGGGAUGGAAGAGGAGAUGGAGCAUUAUCGGAAUUCCCCAUAUUAUCAUG
Molecule: long non-coding RNA, 643 nt
Filed under: Coffea arabica (coffee)
Lineage: Eukaryota; Viridiplantae; Streptophyta; Magnoliopsida; Gentianales; Rubiaceae
Description: long non-coding RNA (CARA_LNC004503)
Source: RNAcentral